This is a long non-coding RNA of Empidonax traillii (willow flycatcher), 305 nucleotides long. RefSeq lists it as uncharacterized. Lineage: Eukaryota; Metazoa; Chordata; Aves; Passeriformes; Tyrannidae. The record is from RefSeq and is a predicted model, not a curated record. The transcript has 5 exons.
GCCUGUUUAGGGGAGAAAGAGGGCAAGAAAGACCUCCAUCACAAAACCAAUCAGGGAACUGAAAUGGGAGCAGGGAGAAGGGUGUUCAGGUGGUUGCUAAGCUGCCUCCAUUUCUACCCCAUUGCAGCAGUGGCAGCGGCGCCCGCAAUACCCACGGUUUUUCACAGCAGCAGACAAUUCAGCAGUGCUACUGAUGAGCGACAUUGAAGAGGAACAAGGAGAUUAUGAUGACAUAUGGCCAGCAGGCCCUGCUAGUUCUCUGUUUUGGGUGGAUGAGGACUCAGAGCUUCUUGAAGAAAAUGAAC